Long non-coding RNA from Daphnia carinata, 1533 nucleotides. RefSeq lists it as uncharacterized. The transcript has 3 exons. The record is from RefSeq and is a predicted model, not a curated record. Lineage: Eukaryota; Metazoa; Arthropoda; Branchiopoda; Diplostraca; Daphniidae.
AACAAACUUUUUUUUGUAAUUUAAUUCUUUUUUUCUUUUUUCUUUUUUUUUUUUUUCACUAGCCUCGGCUUUCUCUCUGCUUCUCCCACUCGGGCGUACUGACGACUGGACCGGGCCGGCGCCCGCUACAGCCAGGUGUAUGCCCCGCGGGUGUUGAAACCAAGUGGAAGAAGAAGAAAAAGAAGAGGAACGGUGCGAAAGAGAACACGGAGGAGAAGAAGAAGAAAAAGUUCGGCCAGCGAAAAGCCGAAAGCUCGACGCGCAAAGGGAGUGAGGAAAGCUUGGUUGCGAGGCAGGUAGGUGGAGUGAAGGUGUAUACACGUACCUGCUAAUCCAAAAGCACCGCCCACUUCUUCCGGCCGCAGCGCGCGGGUGGUCGCGGAUUCAAAACCGGCCCGACACGCUUCUCGAUUCUCCCGGCUUAUUCUCUCACAGUCCCAUGAACUGCCUCGCUAUCCUAUGUGAGUAUUAUUUCAAAAGAAAAAAGAGAAAAAUGAUUCACUACCGCACCAUCUAGCGAGCCGUCGAUUCAACUUUGUCGGGAAAGACAUAAUGGAAGAAGUUGUCGCUCAAGUGUUUCCCUUACGUACGUCUGCAAUUCCAGAGGGAAAUGCUGGUUAAUUUCAUUUGUUUCAUGAUGAAAAACUUUCAUCAAAUUAGAUAUUGCUCAUUUCGUCCCAAUUUGUUCUACUUCCGGAUGGUUGCCUAGCGCUGGAUGGUACAAUCUCUUGGGGUGUCCAGCGACUAUUUGUAGUGUAGAAACUAAUCGCAUGUCGCGUUCACUUGUUUUUUCUUUUCUUUUUCGCUUUCCCAUUGGUUUUUCUAAUGCUUCCUUCCUUCAUCCGCCCAUUCUUCCGGUUGCACUCAACAAAAGCGACGUCAAGCUCUACCGCGAAGACUUAUUAUGUUCUUCACCUUUAUAUAAAAGAAAGGAUUUAUUCUUUCGCCUUGCAGACGAAUCAUCAUCCAGCAUUAAAGAAAACCGCGAGCUAAAUCUUUUUGCAUGGCUGGUGAGUUGUUACGCAGAGCUAUUAAGGUGAACAUGGUUGCCAUGUACAAAGAGACAGACGUAAUGCAAGAAGAACUGAAUACUCAGACAGCAUAAUGAGAGGACACACAGUCGAAGAUAUCGGAUAACUGGACUUCGCUGCUUAAUGGCUGUUUAAUUUUAUGCGCUUGGUUGGUUGUUUUAUGUACUCGUUCAGCCAAUCUUGGGGAAUUUUGCAUUUUCGAAAUGUUUUGCUUGCUUCAUAUAAAACGUUCGAAUUUCUAUUUUCCUUGUGGUUGGCGAGCGCAAUAUUAAAUGGUUGCUAAGAUGUUUGAGCAUGCUCUGACGUGGCAUCUUUGAUCAACACACAUGUCUCAAGUUCUUGCAGAUCUGGCUGUUGCCGGAGUAACGAAAGUAAAUGUCACCAAUCCCGCAGAGAUGUGAAACAAAUUGAAAAAGCAGUCGAGCGAAACAAAAAGAUCAAUGUCUCCUUGAAAGAUUAUUCACACUGAAGCAUAAGUUGCCUUUCUUUUUAUUUCUUUUUA